UCUCGCAUGUGCGUUGCAGUAAAGCAUAUCUCGUGAUGGGAUCCUCAAAAAAUGUGGGGCGAUGCGUGCCUAUCAUUGUGAUUGCAUUAGUGUGUGAUGUUGUUGGGGUUGCUCUCCUUUUACUUGGGAUUUUUUCCCAUUUCAUAUAUUGGGAUUUUUUUAUUUAUACCGGAGCGAUCAUCUUAUCCCUGAGCCUCAUCUUUUGGAUAUUCUGGUACAGUGUCAACCUUGAAGUAUCUUAUGAAGAGCUGUGCUUAGCGUGAAACUUUUUUUUUUUUGACUUAUUGAAUUACAAGCAAUACUAGUUGAACUGUGAACGUUUCUAGAGUAAAGGAUUACCUGGAAAUAUCCCACCUGGAGAACAGAAGCUAUCCCGAGAGAUUUGAAUACAUGUCUCCUUAUUAAAAGGAACACAAGCUUGAAAGGUCAUGAAGAUAUGCACCAUUGAAAGAACUGACUACAAAUAAUGAAGAUAGAUACUUUUGCACUUAAUUAGCACUUUAUUGUGUGCAAUAUAACCAAAGGAGGCAUAAGGCUGCACAUUACAAGAUGUCCCUUUUUGGAGUUUACACAGCACAUGGAUACCUCUUCUCUGAAACCACUGAAACUAUGUAUUUCACAUAGAAUGAACAUUUAUGGACAAUUAUGGCUUUUCUGUUGGACUUUUGAGUAACACUGAUUUACAGUAAAUGUCCUCCAAUAUUUUUAAAUUGAGACCUCAAGUCUAAACCAUGAGAUCAUAAUCAGUUUGUUUUGUCCAUGUGCCAUACUAUUUGUAAAUGCAAUGCCAUUGUCACAACCAAAGAGGAAUUUAAAUACCACUGAUACUAUUCACAAAUGUUUACUGCUGUUCAGUGUAAUCUGCGUUUGAGGUGAAUUUGUUUUUAUAUGUGUGUGUGUUGUAUGUAUAUGUGUGUUUUUAUUGAUAUUGCUUGGAUGUAUAAUUGUUGUAUUGUUUAUUAUUGAGUAUUUAAAAAAUGAAUGUAACAUGAAUGCUACUGACCUAAAGAAAGGUAUGUUAAACACUUACAUUUCCAAUUCCAGCAGUGCAUUUUGUGAUUGUACUCAGUAAUCAUGACAAAGAUCUACAAUUUGAUGUUACAAAACCAUGGAUUAGCUUUAAACAUAGGAAACCAAUACUCUACCACCAUUGGUGGAGCAACAGGACAGCUUUCAGUCACUUGAGUGUUCCACAUCUGUUUUUUUACAUUCAGAAAGCACACUCAAACAACAUCAAAGUGUUGUUUGUGAAUGUAGCCAAAACACAGCGGGUUGUUUUCCUAAUUUUGUGCUUAUCGAGUAUUUAGACUUAUUAGACACAUGCAAAGUGUGCCUGGGGUAAAGUGCUUUUAACAGCAUUUCAACACAUAAACAUGUUGCAUUCUCUUGUUAUAUUGACUAUUAGUUUCUACCUGCAUCAUUGUCUGAUGUACCCAUCUGCUCAAUUGUUUGACUGUGAAUGGUAGGACAUUGAAUACAAUUUAAAAGCAUUUUUUUACAAUAUUUGUCAACGGGUGGAAACUGACAUCCACUUUUCAAUUAAAAUCUAUUUUUAAAUUCAACCAGUUUAAUAUCAGAGCUAGCUGUCAGAGCUAGCUGCUAGUUUCGUUUUGACCUCUUAAGAUUGCCAUCACUUUCAUUCACAACAAUCAAACAUUGUCAUUUAGAACCACCAUAUCAAACAUCUGGCUGGCACUUUACAAAAUACCAUUUUGGUUUCGGAUACCAUUAGGAAACCAUUCUUACCCAGAACAAGCCAUAGCAGAACCAUUAGCAGACCGCAGCAUUACCGGCAAUGGCAGCACAAUGGAUCUGGAGGAAGUAUUGCAUAGUCUUAAUACUGAGCAUUAGCACAGUGGUGCAAUAGUGGUACCAUUGAACUGCAAUAGAUUACCAGUGUUUAUUGGUACGUAAAUAUGAAAAUGUGACCCCAGUGGUACUGGUCUACCAUUGUACAGAAUCUUUGGAUUUCAAUGGUUGCCACUGUAUUGCUAUUGAAGAUAGACUGAAUCCUGGUUUUGAAUCCGUUUUCUUCUCAUUUGUCUUUGUGACAGAAAUACAAUGAGUUUUGGUUGUAAAUCUCUCUCCCGACCUGUGAGGGCGCUAUGCAGCGAAAGGAGAAGUCUUUGGACAGGCUGGCCUGACAGUUAUUUCCCUGGGCCGGGAAGUCGGUCAGUCUGGAAGAAGGCAAGACUGUGUUGCAGGAACAUAUUGACCCGGAAGGGAAACGACGUAGCAGCUGCAGAUAGAAGAGACAGCUGCACUCGUUUACCAAGGGGUCAUGUGUGAUAGCAUAAAGGGAACAGAGAAUCGCAAAUCUUUUCGUUCGCUUGGUUCGAGAUACAAGGAACAGGAAGGACUGGGAGAAACCCUUAAAAACUAGAAGGAUUUGUGAGUGUUUAUUUAUUUGUUUGUUGCUGUUAGUAAUUGUCUUUUGUUUUUGUAAAUCACUAGACAGCUAACACGUCUCCGGAGCUGUCGCCUUGGGCCAGCACUACCCGGAACAACACUACACCACAGUCACUGUAUAGUUGUUAUCACCCACCACGAGCACUACUGCACGGUUGCCAGGACUGGUGACCAUGUUAGUAUAUUGUGGGACGGAUAUUUGUGUUUAUUAUUUGGGACUGUAACCCUGUUGUUAUUUACUCCGUGCACUACACAUUGCUGUGUAUUGCCGGAUAUUAUUAUUUGGUCACCAGACCUGGAUACAAUUAAAAACUGUUUCAAACUAGA
Molecule: long non-coding RNA, 2736 nt
Organism: Acipenser ruthenus (sterlet)
Lineage: Eukaryota; Metazoa; Chordata; Actinopteri; Acipenseriformes; Acipenseridae
Exons: 2
Source: RefSeq, a predicted model, not a curated record